UGCACGGUAGCGCAGUUGGUAGCACUGCUUCCUUGCAGCAAAAAGCUCCUGGGUUCAAAUCCCAGUCAGGGGUCUUUCUGCAU
Crenichthys baileyi (White River springfish) is the source of this 83-nucleotide non-coding RNA. Lineage: Eukaryota; Metazoa; Chordata; Actinopteri; Cyprinodontiformes; Goodeidae. The record is from the annotation of a GenBank genome assembly.